CUCGUCGUAGCUCAGCUGGUAGAGCGUGUACUGUACAAAAGCGUAGGCGGCGUCCAGGCGUGGGUUCGAAUCCCACCGACGCUA
Molecule: transfer RNA, 84 nt
Filed under: Echinostoma caproni
Lineage: Eukaryota; Metazoa; Platyhelminthes; Trematoda; Plagiorchiida; Echinostomatidae
Rfam family: tRNA
About the family: Transfer RNA (tRNA) molecules are approximately 80 nucleotides in length.
Source: Rfam by way of RNAcentral